AGAGUUUGAUCCUGGCUCAGGAUGAACGCUGGCGGCGUGCCUAAUACAUGCAAGUCGAACGCACUGUGGUUCAACUGAUUUAAAGAGCUUGCUCUGAUAUGACGAUGAACAUUGCAGUGAGUGGCGAACGGGUGAGUAACACGUGGGAAACCUACCUCUUAGCGGGGGAUAACAUCUGGAAACAGAUGCUAAUACCGCAUAACACUAGCAACCGCAUGGUUGCUACUUGAAAGAUGGUUCUGCUAUCACUAAGAGAUGGUCCCGCGGCGCAUUAGUUAGUUGGUGAGGUAAUGGCUCACCAAGACGAUGAUGCGUAGCCGAGUUGAGAGACUGAUCGGCCACAAUGGGACUGAGACACGGCCCAUACUCCUACGGGAGGCAGCAGUAGGGAAUCUUCCACAAUGGACGAAAGUCUGAUGGAGCAACGCCGCGUGUGUGAUGAAGGGUUUCGGCUCGUAAAACACUGUUGUAAGAGAAGAAUAGCAUCAAGAGUAACUGCUUGGUGUGUGACGGUAUCUUACCAGAAAGGAACGGCUAAAUACGUGCCAGCAGCCGCGGUAAUACGUAUGUUCCAAGCGUUAUCCGGAUUUAUUGGGCGUAAAGCGAGCGCAGACGGUUUUUUAAGUCCGAAGUGAAAGCCCACAGCUUAACUGUGGAAGUGCUUUGGAAACUGGAUGACUUGAGUGCAGUAGAGGAGAGUGGAAAUUCCAUGUGUAGCGGUGAAAUGCGUAGAUAUAUGGAGGAACACCAGUGGCGAAGCGGCUCUCUGGGACUGUAACUGACGUUGAGCUCGAAGUGUGGGUAGC
Molecule: ribosomal RNA, 806 nt
Filed under: uncultured bacterium
Lineage: Bacteria
Description: bacterial SSU rRNA
Rfam family: Bacterial small subunit ribosomal RNA
Source: RNAcentral